UUGGAAUGAAGAAAUAAGAACGCACUACAUGCUCUCAUAAUUGAUGGCACAAGCCUCAUUGAAGUCAUGUGCUUUGUAUGCUGUUUCCUAUCCUUUAUAGUUUUUUGAUAUGGCAGCCUUUCUUUUAAAUUUGUAAUCUUAUAUAUUUUGUUUACAGGUACACAUGAAAUUGCACUGUUGAACAUGAAAGGAUACUCUGUUGCAGCAUGCUUAGAGAUAGGGUUUUACUUUCGCUAUCUUUUUUAUAUUUUUUAAUAUUUUAAUGUUAGUCUCAUGUACUUAUGUGGCACAGUUUGCUAUAAUCUCUUUACAAAAAAUAGUCUUUAGUGGUAUUUUCACUUUCUUUGAAUAUUCAAACUUUUACCUUAUGUUUGUUAUUAAUGGUGGGGGAAAGCACAAUAUCAGAUGGAGGCCGUUGUUAAUAGCUAAAGGCUGGAUUGCUUUGCAGCUCAGGUACACAUUAAAUUUCACUGUUGAACACGGAAGGAUACAAUCUUGCAGCAUGCUUUACCUUUACGCCUCGAGGUGUUUAAAGGGUGAAAUGCCUUUAGGCAUGUGAAUUUCCUGAGAACAAUACUUCCCAUGAAUUUGAAAGAGAAACUGUCUCAAAUACAUGUCAACUCUUGAGAAGCCAUUUCCCAAUAUUCCAAUGGUUGCCUCUCAAGAGGACAGAGUUGUAUGAAUUAUGGUGAAGGUUUUGGGCAAUUCUCAGUUUGACUUGCAACCGUUCCAACCAUGUAAAGUUGUCUAUGCACACAUCUUGGCUGUGGUAGGAAUGGUCCCAGAAGAUUGAGUUGCUGGAAUCUUCAAGAAGUUGCUGGAAUCUUCAAGAGAAACGUUGAAGCAUUUGUAUUUUCAAGAUUGGGAUUGAUUUACACACACCACCUCCUUUUAUAAUGAAACAUUUGGGUCCAUAGUAAGCAAAAGCACCAGCGUGGUUUUCAAACAAUUUGUGAUGAUAUUUGAGUAAAGAAGUCGUAAGAAGUACAAAUUGAAAGAACUUGGUGAUUCUCACCAGGGAGAAAUCAGAAUUGGAUGAUUUAGAACUUUGAAAAUGGUUUGUGUAUAUAUGGUUUUGGGAUUUUAGUGAGUUUUUCCAAUUGUUUCAAAUUGAUUUGAAAAUCUGAUCAGUAGGAAGGUUAUAAAAGAACAACAAAUAAUAAUACUAUAGAUUAAAUUGGUAACAUGAAAACCAUAAUAAAAUUAUAGAUUAAAUUGAUACAUAAAAACUGAUCAAUUUUUCAAAGAAUUCUUUCUAAGAGGCUUAUUUUCUUUAAUUAACCUUAAAGUUAGUGUUUGCAGAAAACAUGAAGAAAAGGUGAAAAUUGCAAACAAUUCAUUUAGAAUUGAGCUCGGCUUGUUGACACAUCCAACAUGAGUAGUUUCUUUCAAAAUAAAAAAAUCCAUUCAUUGAAAGCUUACAUGGUUGACAAAGCUUUUGCCAAUGAUUUUUGGUAGUUUUUACUGACAGAUCUAACGAUGGACAAAAGGUCAUAAAGAAAACGGGGGUGGAAGAAACCAUACUAGGACCCGACCUGGUUUGGGUUUUGUUACUUGAGGCCACGCAACCUUCCCCCAUCCUCUCUUGCCUCCUCCGCCCCUUUAUUCCUCCUCUUCCUCUGCUCAUUGCUUUACCUCUACAAGGAAGCCCUUCCGCCGAGCAGCCCUACUCCAUGCGACAUCCAGAGUUUGGCAGCUGUUGGGCAAUGCCUGGAAGAUCAGACUCCUCCUUGGUAUGGCAGCAGAUGCUAGGUUGGGGGCGCUGGGUUGUCUUGACCUGGUUAGGGUAGAUUUGGGGAUUUCUAGUUUCAUGCCCAAGUCUCGCAGCUUCUGGCUACAACUCAAGUCAAGCUUGUUCUUUUAUAGGAUGAUGUUGGCACAUUAUUUCUUC
Molecule: long non-coding RNA, 1891 nt
Organism: Nymphaea colorata (pocket water lily)
Lineage: Eukaryota; Viridiplantae; Streptophyta; Magnoliopsida; Nymphaeales; Nymphaeaceae
Exons: 4
Source: RefSeq, a predicted model, not a curated record